AUUGAACGCUGGCGGCAGGCUUAACACAUGCAAGUCGAGCGGGGAAAAGUAGCUUGCUACUUGACCUAGCGGCGGACGGGUGAGUAAUGCUUAGGAAUCUGCCUAUUAGUGGGGGACAACAUCUCGAAAGGGAUGCUAAUACCGCAUACGUCCUACGGGAGAAAGCAGGGGACCUUCGGGCCUUGCGCUAAUAGAUGAGCCUAAGUCGGAUUAGCUAGUUGGUGGGGUAAAGGCCUACCAAGGCGACGAUCUGUAGCGGGUCUGAGAGGAUGAUCAGCCAGACGGGGACGUAGACACGGCCCAGACUCCUACGGGAGGCAGCAGUGGGGAAUAUUGGACAAUGGGGGGAACCCUGAUCCAGCCAUGCCGCGUGUGUGAAGAAGGCCUUUUGGUUGUAAAGCACUUUAAGCGAGGAGGAGGCUACCGAGAUUAAUACUCUUGGAUAGUGGACGUUACUCGCAGAAUAAGCACCGGCUAACUCUGUGCCAGCCGCCGCCGUAA
This 501-nucleotide ribosomal RNA is filed under the name uncultured bacterium. RNAcentral's name for it is "partial 16S ribosomal RNA". It matches the Rfam family "Bacterial small subunit ribosomal RNA", at positions 30 to 523 of the family's 1533-position model. The record is from RNAcentral.